AUUAUUGUUAUUAUUAUUAUUAUUAUUAUUAUCAUAUGGUAUUCUUAACAAGCAUUACAACUCAAUAAAAUUAUAAAUAAAUAAACUUAAGUAGAAUAUAUAGAGGUUAAAAUAAAUAACAAUAAUAAAGAUAUUAUGUAAUUAGUCUAGUUUAUGGUAACUUCUGUGUUGUGGAAUGACCCACAUAUAGGAGAACAUCGAGUGAUCACAACCAGGCCAGAGCCGUUUCCGAAACGCCGUGGAUAUCGUUAAUUGUGCCGUUGAAAGUUCGAAUAGGGCAGUGGCCCAAAACUAACCAUAAGUUACCAUUAUAUGCUAAAAAAUUAUAUAUGAACUAUCAAAAAUAUUAUACUAUUAUUGACAUUUUAGUUUCUGAUUGAAGCAAGAAAUAUAUUGGUUUUACGGUGA
Molecule: non-coding RNA, 408 nt
Organism: Cinara cedri
Lineage: Eukaryota; Metazoa; Arthropoda; Insecta; Hemiptera; Aphididae
Source: the annotation of a GenBank genome assembly